This 550-nucleotide ribosomal RNA is filed under the name uncultured bacterium. RNAcentral describes it as "bacterial LSU rRNA". It matches the Rfam family "Bacterial large subunit ribosomal RNA", at positions 1497 to 2054 of the family's 2925-position model. The record is from RNAcentral.
GAUGGAACAGCCGGGCCAAGCAGCGAGGCUUGAACGGGAGGCAAAUCCCCUGUUCUAUAAGGCUGAGCUGUGAAGGGGAUCGAAAAAACAAGUAGAGAAGUCUCCGAUUUCACGCUGUCAGGAAAAACUUCUAUCCAGAGAAAGUCCACCCGUACCGCAAACCGACACAGGCAGGCGAGGAGAGAAUCCUAAGAUGAGCGGGAGAAGUGUUGUUAAGGAACUCGGCAAAAUAACUCCGUAACUUCGGGAGAAGGAGUGCCUAAGCAAUUAGGCCGCAGAGAAGAGGCUCAAGCGACUGUUUAGCAAAAACACAGGUCUCUGCUAAAUCGAAAGAUGACGUAUAGGGGCUGACGCCUGCCCGGUGCUGGAAGGUUAAGAGGAGAGCUUAGCGUAAGCGAAGGUUUGAAUUGAAGCCCCAGUAAACGGCGGCCGUAACUAUAACGGUCCUAAGGUAGCGAAAUUCCUUGUCAGGUAAGUUCUGACCCGCACGAAAGGCGUAACGAUUUGAGCGCUGUCUCGACAACACACCCGGUGAAAUUGUAGUACUCGU